AUUGAACGCUGGCGGCAGGCCUAACACAUGCAAGUCGAGCGGAUGAAGGGAGCUUGCUCCUGGAUUCAGCGGCGGACGGGUGAGUAAUGCCUAGGAAUCUGCCUGGUAGUGGGGGAUAACGUCCGGAAACGGGCGCUAAUACCGCAUACGUCCUGAGGGAGAAAGUGGGGGAUCUUCGGACCUCCCGCUCUCAGAUGGGCCUAGGUCGGAUUAGCUAGUUGGUGGGGUAAAGGCCUACCAAGGCGACGAUCCGUAACUGGUCUGAGAGGAUGAUCAGUCACACUGGAACUGAGACACGGUCCAGACUCCUACGGGAGGCAGCAGUGGGGAAUAUUGGACAAUGGGCGAAAGCCUGAUCCAGCCAUGCCGCGUGUGUGAAGAAGGUCUUCGGAUUGUAAAGCACUUUAAGUUGGGAGGAAGGGCAGUAAGUUAAUACCUUGCUGUUUUGACGUUACCAACAGAAUAAGCACCGGCUAACUUCGUG
Molecule: ribosomal RNA, 484 nt
Filed under: uncultured bacterium
Lineage: Bacteria
Description: partial 16S ribosomal RNA
Rfam family: Bacterial small subunit ribosomal RNA
Source: RNAcentral